GUAGUACUCCCUCCGUCCCAAAAUUCUUGUCUUAAAUUAGUCUAGAUACGGAUGUAUCUAAUACUAAAACCUGACUUGAUACAUCUGUAUUUAGACAAAUCUAAGACAAAAAUUUUAGGACGGAGGGAGUAUAUA
Triticum aestivum (bread wheat) is the source of this 135-nucleotide non-coding RNA. The record is from Rfam. NCBI's taxonomy places the organism in Eukaryota, Viridiplantae, Streptophyta, Magnoliopsida, Poales, Poaceae.